UGCAGUCGAACGAUGAAGCCCUUCGGGGUGGAUUAGUGGCGAACGGGUGAGUAACACGUGGGCAAUCUGCCCUGCACUCUGGGACAAGCCCUGGAAACGGGGUCUAAUACCGGAUAUGACCGUCCAUCGCAUGGUGGAUGGUGUAAAGCUCCGGCGGUGCAGGAUGAGCCCGCGGCCUAUCAGCUAGUUGGUGAGGUAGUGGCUCACCAAGGCGACGACGGGUAGCCGGCCUGAGAGGGCGACCGGCCACACUGGGACUGAGACACGGCCCAGACUCCUACGGGAGGCAGCAGUGGGGAAUAUUGCACAAUGGGCGAAAGCCUGAUGCAGCGACGCCGCGUGAGGGAUGACGGCCUUCGGGUUGUAAACCUCUUUCAGCAGGGAAGAAGCGAAAGUGACGGUACCUGCAGAAGAAGCGCCGGCUAACUACGUGCCAGCAGCCGCGGUAAUACGUAGGGCGCAAGCGUUGUCCGGAAUUAUUGGGCGUAAAGAGCUCGUAGGCGGCUUGUCACGUCGGUUGUGAAAGCCCGGGGCUUAACCCCGGGUCUGCAGUCGAUACGGGCAGGCUAGAGUUCGGUAGGGGAGAUCGGAAUUCCUGGUGUAGCGGUGAAAUGCGCAGAUAUCAGGAGGAACACCGGUGGCGAAGGCGGAUCUCUGGGCCGAUACUGACGCUGAGGAGCGAAAGCGUGGGGAGCGAACAGGAUUAGAUACCCUG
This 715-nucleotide ribosomal RNA is filed under the name Streptomyces sp. YIM 56092. RNAcentral's name for it is "bacterial SSU rRNA". It matches the Rfam family "Bacterial small subunit ribosomal RNA", at positions 56 to 789 of the family's 1533-position model. Lineage: Bacteria; Bacillati; Actinomycetota; Actinomycetes; Kitasatosporales; Streptomycetaceae. The record is from RNAcentral.